GACGAACGCUGGCGGCGUGCCUAACACAUGCAAGUCGAGCGAAUGAAGUUCCUUCGGGAACGGAUUUAGCGGCGGACGGGUGAGUAACACGUGGGCAACCUGCCUCAUAGAGGGGAAUAGCCUUCCGAAAGGGAGAUUAAUACCGCAUAAGAUUGUAGUACCGCAUGGUACAGCAAUUAAAGGAGCAAUCCGCUAUGAGAUGGGCCCGCGGCGCAUUAGCUAGUUGGUGAGGUAACGGCUCACCAAGGCGACGAUGCGUAGCCGACCUGAGAGGGUGAUCGGCCACAUUGGGACUGAGACACGGCCCAGACUCCUACGGGAGGCAGCAGUGGGGAAUAUUGCACAAUGGGGGAAACCCUGAUGCAGCAACGCCGCGUGAGUGAUGACGGCCUUCUGGUUGUAAAGCUCUGUCUUCAGGGACGAUAAUGACGGUACCUGAGGAGGAAGCCACGGUUAAGUACGUGCCAGCAGCCGCGGUAAUACGCAGGUGGCGAGCGUUGUCCGGAUUUAUUGGGCGUAAAGCGAGCGCAGGCGGUUGCUUAGGUCUGAUGUGAAAGCCUUCGGCUUAACCGAAGAAGUGCAUCGGAAACCGGGCGACUUGAGUGCAGAAAGAGGACAGUGGAACUCCAUGUGUAGCGGUGGAAUGCGUAGAUAUAUGGAAGAACACCAGUGGCGAAGGCGGCUGUCUGGUCUGCAACUGACGCUGAGGCUCGAAAGCAUGGGUAGCGAACAGGAUUAGAUACCCUGGUAGUCCAUGCCGUAAACGAUGAGUGCUAGGUGUUGGAGGGUUUCCGCCCUUCAGUGCCGGAGCUAACGCAUUAAGCACUCCGCCUGGGGAGUACGACCGCAAGGUUGAAACUCAAAGGAAUUGACGGGGGCCCGCACAAGCGGUGGAGCAUGUGGUUUAAUUCGAAGCUACGCGAAGAACCUUACCAGGUCUUGACAUCUUGCGCUAACCUUAGAGAUAAGGCGUUCCCUUCGGGGACGCAAUGACAGGUGGUGCAUGGUCGUCGUCAGCUCGUGUCGUGAGAUGUUGGGUUAAGUCCCGCAACGAGCGCAACCCUUGUUACUAGUUGCCAGCAUUAAGUUGGGCACUCUAGUGAGACUGCCGGUGACAAACCGGAGGAAGGUGGGGACGACGUCAGAUCAUCAUGCCCCUUAUGACCUGGGCUACACACGUGCUACAAUGGACGGUACAAAGAGACGCAAGACCGCGAGGUGGAGCAAAACUCAAAAACUUGUCUCAGUUCGGAUUGUAGGCUGAAACUCGCCUACAUGAAGCUGGAGUUGCUAGUAAUCGCGAAUCAGCAUGUCGCGGUGAAUACGUUCCCGGGCCUUGUACACACCGCCCGUCACACCAUGAGAGUUGGCAAUACCCAACGUACGUGAUCUAACCCGCAAGGGAGGAAGCGUCCUAAGGUAGGGUCAGCGAUUGGGGUG
Molecule: ribosomal RNA, 1440 nt
Filed under: uncultured bacterium
Lineage: Bacteria
Description: partial 16S ribosomal RNA
Rfam family: Bacterial small subunit ribosomal RNA
Source: RNAcentral